CUACAGGCAAUGUGGAUCAUAUCUGGAUCACAUGUGGAUCAUAUCUUUGUCACCCAGGGGACUGCAGGUGACCAGGGACCCCAAGGACACAGAGGAGAGAAGGGUGACCAUGGUCCUACUGGUGACAGAGGUCCAAGAGGACCAUCUGGACAAAAUGGUGAGAAAGGAGUGGAUGGAGUGGACGGGAAAGACGGCCUUGUGGUUUGUUUGUUUUCUACCUCUUCCUCAACACACAGCCCCCGCAUUAUUAAAUGUUUAACAAGGGUAUCGCUCUGUAAACUUACAAACAGAAAAACAAGGCUAUCAAGGCCUCGUAAAGUGUGAGUGACCAAUUAAACAGGGAUGCAGGCUUCGCCCUCACAGGUCUCCCUUUAUAUACACCCAUAUUCCAGAAUUAUUAGAGGGGUUGAGACGAAAACCAGAUGAGAAUUAAAUACAGAUGAAUGAUGGCUCAGCCCAUGCUGAAGGCUGUUAUUGUUAUGUAACACCUGUACCUUCUUCCAAGGGCCCUGGACCUAUUAUACAGUAGAGAGCAAUACUUUUGUCCAUCCCCGUGAGGCACUAUAUGGAGCAUAACAGGGUGCCAAGAAAAAUGAUCUUAAAACCGAUCCAGGUGCUGUAUGGUUGAUAUGAGCCAGAUGAAUCAUAUAGGUGUUUUAUAGACUAAAUGUUUAGCACUAAAGUGUCAUUGUCACAUCCCUUUAGAAUCCCCCUGGGAGAUUUGGCGGGAAGUUCCUUAACUAUGAAAAUGAUAAAGAAAAACAAUUUUACUUCAUAAAUCAAAUUGCGCUAAUGGAAAUAUGUCAUAUUCAUAAAUGUAAAUUCACUAAUAAAAAAACUCUUCUGUGUUUUCUAUAAGGAAUUUGAGCAGUACAUUAAGACCAUUCUACAUUCUUCUAAUAAGAAAGCUGUUAAAACACUCAAUAUGUGUGCAUCCUCUAAUGUCUUUGUAUAAUCUGUCAUUUGUUGUACCCC
Molecule: long non-coding RNA, 975 nt
Filed under: Salmo trutta (river trout)
Lineage: Eukaryota; Metazoa; Chordata; Actinopteri; Salmoniformes; Salmonidae
Description: lncRNA (ENSSTUG00000027506.1)
Source: RNAcentral